AAAUCCAUGCCCUAACAAUGGCACAAUGAGAUUUCUCCUAGAUUGAUCUUAUCUCUAAGCAAUUACUAGCUUAGAAUCAAAGAGGAAGCUUUCUAAUACCAUCACUAAGCCCUUUGAACCAUUCCUAGGGCAUCUACUUUGGAUUCUAACAAUCCACCAUGAGAGCACCUUGAGAAAACCAUGGUUUUCAUGGUGUUCAAGACUCUAUUAUACUUCUAAAGCCUCUAAAGAGACCAAAACUCCAAAACCUAAGGUAAGAAUCCUAACCCUAGAGGAGUUCAUGCAUAAAUUCACCUUGGCUACAAGCUAUCUCCAAGUCCUUCUUGUAGGAGAGCUUCUAUAGCCACCACAACCUCCAAAAUCCACCCUCUCCAAGCUUCCAAGCCUUCUCCUCCAAGCCCUAGGCCAAGCUCUCUAGAGAGAGAAAGAGGGAAAUGAGAGGGAGAGUGAAAGGGUGGCUGUUGCUGUGAAAGGAGAAGGGCUGGGUCAUAUAAGGGUCGCAACAAUAGCAACUAAGCCCCCCAAACUUUCUUAUUUGCAACAGGUCAUUUCCUUGCUGCUAGACCAAAGUGUACCGGUACACGUUAUUUUGUAUCGGUACAACU
This 605-nucleotide long non-coding RNA is filed under the name Ananas comosus (pineapple). RNAcentral describes it as "long non-coding RNA (ACOM_LNC036322)". Lineage: Eukaryota; Viridiplantae; Streptophyta; Magnoliopsida; Poales; Bromeliaceae. The record is from RNAcentral.